AGUGAACGCUGGCGGUAGGCCUAACACAUGCAAGUCGAACGGCAGCACAGUAAUAGCUUGCUCUUACGGGUGGCGAGUGGCGGACGGGUGAGGAAUACAUCGGAAUCUACUUUUUUGUGGGGGAUAACGUAGGGAAACUUACGCUAAUACCGCAUACGACCUACGGGUGAAAGCAGGGGAUCUUCGGACCUUGCGCGAUUGAAUGAGCCGAUGUCGGAUUAGCUAGUUGGCGGGGUAAAGGCCCACCAAGGCGACGAUCCGUAGCUGGUCUGAGAGGAUGAUCAGCCACACUGGAACUGAGACACGGUCCAGACUCCUACGGGAGGCAGCAGUGGGGAAUAUUGGACAAUGGGGGCAAGCCUGAUCCAGCCAUACCGCGUGGGUGAAGAAGGCCUUCGGGUUGUAAAGCGCUUUUGUUGGGAAAGAAAAGCAGCAGGUUAAUACCCCGCUGUUCUGACGGUACCCAAAGAAUAAGCACCGGCUAACUUCGUG
This 492-nucleotide ribosomal RNA is filed under the name uncultured bacterium. RNAcentral describes it as "partial 16S ribosomal RNA". It matches the Rfam family "Bacterial small subunit ribosomal RNA", at positions 29 to 507 of the family's 1533-position model. The record is from RNAcentral.